GGAGUCUGGGCCGUGUCUCAGUCCCAAUGUGGCCGUUCACCCUCUCAGGCCGGCUACGCAUCAUCGUCUUGGUGGGCCGUUACCUCACCAACUAACUAAUGCGCCAUAAGCCCAUCCACCAGUGUUUUUAACCUUUAACAAUAUUGACAUGCGUCAUUAUUGCCUAUCCGGUAUUAGUCCCCGUUUCCAGGAAUUAUCCCAGUCUUCGUGGGCAGGUUGCUUAUGUAUUACUCACCCGUUCGCCUCUCCUUCAUUCAAGCAAGCUUGAAUUCCAGCGAUCGACUUGCAUGUAUUAGGCACGCCGCCAGCGUUUAUC
Molecule: ribosomal RNA, 316 nt
Filed under: uncultured Bulleidia sp.
Lineage: Bacteria; Bacillati; Bacillota; Erysipelotrichia; Erysipelotrichales; Erysipelotrichaceae
Description: partial 16S ribosomal RNA
Source: RNAcentral